ACCUACGUAUCACCGCGGGGGUUAAGUCCCGCAACGAGCGCAACCCUUGAUCUUAGUUGCCAGCAUUCAGUUGGGCACUCUAAGGUGACUGGCCGGUGACAAACCGGAGGAAGGUGGGGAUGACGUCAAAUCAUCAUGCCCCUUAUGACCUGGGCUACACACGUGCUACAAUGGACAGAACAAAGGGCUGCAAGACCGCAAGGUUUAGCCAAUCCCAUAAAUCUGUUCUCAGUUCGGAUCGCAGUCUGCAACUCGACUGCGUGAAGCUGGAAUCGCUAGUAAUCGCGGAUCAGCAUGCCGCGGUGAAUACGUUCCCGGGCCUUGUACACACCGCCCGUCACACCACGAGAGUUUGCAACACCCGAAGUCGGUGAGGUAACCUUUAUGGAGCCAGCCGCCGAAGGUGGGGCAGAUGAUUGGGGUGAAGUC
This 429-nucleotide ribosomal RNA is filed under the name Bacillus sp. SPA I9900319. Its description in RNAcentral is "bacterial SSU rRNA". It matches the Rfam family "Bacterial small subunit ribosomal RNA", at positions 1060 to 1487 of the family's 1533-position model. Lineage: Bacteria; Bacillati; Bacillota; Bacilli; Caryophanales; Bacillaceae. The record is from RNAcentral.